Molecule: long non-coding RNA, 3419 nt
Filed under: Drosophila melanogaster (fruit fly)
Lineage: Eukaryota; Metazoa; Arthropoda; Insecta; Diptera; Drosophilidae
Description: long non-coding RNA:CR43314 (Dmel_CR43314)
Source: RNAcentral
CAGGCAAGUCGCAAAGUGGAACGCAGCGGCGAACGAGCUAAGAAAGUCAGUUGAAAACAGUGGAAACGCGGUGCCAGUCACUUUUUUUCAUUGCACAUAGAGAGAGGGCCCUGUAUACUCAGCAGCCUACCACCAACAAUCAACCAACCAACCGACCAGCCCAACCAACAUACCUGUCGUGUUGGCCACGUUUGUGGCGAUCCGAUCAGUGCACCGUCAGCCAGCGACGCGCACACACCGAACCACACAAUCCAGCAGUCUGGGAAACGAACACCACUGUAUAUACUAUCAAGCGAAGUGUUAGAGAUAAACUGAUAAUACAACGGAGCCGAGAAAAGAAAAGCACUAACGUGGCGUUAACUCUUUUAACUAAAAAACACUCACUCACUCAACCAAAAAAAAAAAAAAACGUCAGUAAAGACAAUAAACAAAGUAAAACAAAAACGAGUCAGCGGCAAAGUGUCAAUAAAACUCUCGAAUUCAUUAACACAACUCAAAACGUUCUAUUAGUAAGCACUUGCAAAUUUAAACGAAACAAAAAAAAAAAAUCUUGACAGAGAGAGAGAGAGACAGAGAGCGAUAAAAGGAGAGGGAACAUUAGACAGAAAUUAGCGUGGCCAACAGUCAAAAGGUCUAAUAGAAGCGCGUGUAUACGAGUCAAAAUGCCCGUAUACACCUCGUCGAGACCCACAAGCCAUGAUCGUAAAAACCACAUCAACAAAUGUUCGAAACGAGAUAAAAAAAACAACAACCGAGAAUAUAUGAAAAAUACAGAAAAAAAAGAUACAAAAACCCAGACGAGACCGCUGAGACAUGUCCUUGGCCUGUAAAAGGGCAGUGAAAUUCCUGGCACUCCAUAACAACAUCAUCAAAGGAUGGUGCGCAACUUCGGUUCCCAGGAGUCCUUUCAGCUGAACCGCUCUACUGAAGUACAGAAUUACAGAAAUUCAAAGCCCCCCCGCUGAAGUAUGCCAUAAGACAAAUGCCAUGGACUCGCUUACAAUUUGGUCUCGUCUUGUCAAUCAAUUGGGAUCGAGUCGGGGUCUAGAACUGGAAAUGGCCAAGGAUGACCGGCGACCGUUUCCUGUUUGGGUUGGCAAGUUGGUAAGUUAAUACUCGGACUAGGCUCUAACUUAAUUAGCCGCACGACAGACUGAAGACUAAAGACUGAAUGCCGAAAGCACACGACCCCGACCUCUGGUGACCUCAAAGCUGACGGAGGCGACUAAUUUAUCAAAAUGGCUAGAAAAACUGAAAUAACUCUACGCAUAAUUAAAUCCAGCUAAAAACGAAAAAUGAGUGAAACACCGCGAUACUCAAAUGCGUUUUUAAACCGUUGCGCAACGCCUAUUUCUAACAGUUUUAAAUUUUGUUGAGACUUUUCUUUGGUGUUUUGUUCGAAUUUUUCUUUUGCUUAAUUGCCGCCUAUUAAUCCCGACUCCGUUAAUGGUCUCACAAACAAAAAUUCUAAUUAAUGAAAUAUUUUUCGGCCUUUUGCAUGCAUUGUCUACUGUAGGCAUUCCAGCCCACCGAAAGUAUAAUCAAUCAUGGCCCAAGACCUCAUGGAUCUCACAGAUGGUGGAGAUUUUUGGACAAAGUGAACUUGAGUGUGUUGACAAAUUUGUGAGUUGCCGGCAUGGAUUGACAGGAAAAUUGAGUAAUCAAUCAUGGGCCAUCAAACGAAGCCGACCACAGCGAAUUGGCCUUCGAAAGGUCUGUUUAGUUAGUUAGCGAAAUCAAGUCUUAUCAACUGAUGAUGCACGUCGCGGCCAUUAUUUAAAUGCUAAUGUUAAUUAACGAAAUCACGUUAGUCGAGAAUGUUGACAAAAAUCUCACAAUCAGUAGUAGUAGUUGCUGCUCGAACAAGUUGAUUCAGGUUUGCUUAUAUUUUUAGUCGCUGUGCCUCGCAUGCGAUUGAAACGAAAUAUAAAAUUACAUUAAAUUACCGGAUGUAAUUGCGGUGGUCGUGCCAGUCGCCUCUCUCAACCCGGUCAAUGAAUCACGGCCCGGCGCACACGAAAUGCGUCGAAACAAAAGACUCAGGCAACGAACUCGAAUUCAACUCGGCCAGAUUUCAAGCGGCCGAGCACUUCACUUACGUAUGUCCAAAUCAGGGAAACCAGCAACCCACACAGAAUGGUAGAAAAAUCGAAAAACAAAUGAAGAGAGACCCACACAGAAAGGCCAGUUGAGUGGUAUCUUAUCAGGGCUAACGAUUUUGUCAAAUGACAAUUUUCUUGGCCCCAUUGAAUGCCUCUUUUUCACGCCAUUCAUUGACUUUUGUAUGGUCCAUUUAGUUGUCAAUUAUUUUUGAUAGCCUCAGCUGAGGCAGCUGAUAAGAACUGGUGACUAGCAAGCACAAGACUUGUUUAACAAUCCCAGGAAAUCCGUACAUUGAAAAGAGGAGGGGAAAUAGAGGACACCAUCGGAUCUGUGGCUGUGGAUCCAGCUACUGCCUCUCUCCGUUUUGGCCAAAUUUGCAUAUUGAACGGCAGUUUGUCUUGAGCCUGAGCUUUUAGUUAUGGCCGAGCAUUAAAUUUAACUAUUAAGCCAUUUUCGGAGGCCAGUUUUGUGGAGCUUGACUUUCCAAACAUUGUCCCCUGACAGUUGUACCCUAUGGGAAUUAUUUUCUUUUUUUUUCUGCCGCAAUUUAUGAGCCAAAAAGACACAGAUAGACAGAAUGAUUAACAUGAAGUGGAGAGGCAUGGGAACCUUGGAUUGGCAAAGUGAAAUGUUGAAAGCAAUAUAACUUUGACAUAUAAUUAAACAGAAAUAAAGGCUUUAUUUCUUAAAUCAAUGGUUCACUCAAUAGUGGCACACCCAAGUAGGUUUAUAUACACUAGCUUGCCAGCUGCAAUUGAAAAAAAAAACAAUUGCAAGAGUCGACUUAAUUUCAUCAUAAAAAUGCGAAUUAUCUCCAGAUGAAAUUCAUUUCUUGCAACUCAAUCAAGAGGCAUGCAACAGAGGCUGCUGACCUAUAUAUGGUUAAUAAGAAUCAACUUACAUGCCCGCAAAUGUAUGUAGGAAUGCUGGUGGCAUAAAGACCAUACAGAUAUACAGAUAUCCAUAUUGAUAUCUCCACCUCUGUUGCAUUUCGGUUCGUGCAACAAUUUUCGUCGAAAACAAUUUUCAGAGCACGAAACGAAACGUAACGAAAACGGGAGGGGAAAGAUCAGUGCAGAAAAUGAGAAAUUUUCGCAGUGCAUCAUAUGCCACGCACGUAGAAACCAAACCAAAAGCAAACGAAACAGUAACAAUCAGACAAUCAUGCACAUAAUCAUGCCAUCAAUAUAUGGCAAUUAUCAAUGAAAUUUAUAACAAUCCACGAAAUGUAACGAAAACUUAACCGACCAAUAAAAAUUUCAUUUUUCAAAAAGGAGCGCUCAACUCACUGCAGUUCGUCAUCCUCGUUCUGCAAG